This 832-nucleotide long non-coding RNA is filed under the name Helianthus annuus (common sunflower). The record is from RNAcentral. Lineage: Eukaryota; Viridiplantae; Streptophyta; Magnoliopsida; Asterales; Asteraceae.
CUUGAACGAACAAACUCAAACCGCUCGAACGAACAAGCUCAGAUCGCUCGAACGAACAGCUUGGACCGCUUAUACAAACGGUUGAAUUCGCUUAUUUGGAUUAGUGAUUUGAACCGCUUAUUGGACAGUUUAGAGAGCUUGAUGCAGCAAAGUCACUGGCUGAUGAAAAGUGAUUUGAACCGCUUAUUGGACAGUUUGUUUAGACCGCUUAUUCGACAAACUUGUCUGGACCGCUUAUUUGAUUGAGUAAUCUGGAUCGUUCUUUCGGUAGAUUGAGUUUCGGUCUGCUCAUUCAGUUCGCUUGUUGGUCAGACUGUUUGAUUGCUUAUUGGACAUCCGUUUAUCCGAACAGUAUUUUUGAAAACAUGAAAAGAAUUCCGAUAUUUCCAGAUCUCGGAAGUGAUGUUGAUACUGAUGAUGAGGAAGAGUAUCUCAACAAAUGCAGAAAAAGCACUGAUCCUAACAGUUUUAAUUUUUUCUAUGCAGACAAAGUUGAGAUGCUGAAUCAAAAGAAGAUUGCUCGAUUGCAGAGAGAGCUUGAUGCAGCAAAGUCACUGGCUGAUGAAAAGGUGAAAACUGAAGCUGUAGAAAAAGUAGUGGAGAAAAUUGUUGAAGUCGAGAAACUAGUUGAAGUUGAAAAAAUAGUUGAAAAAGUAAUUGAAGUUGUUAAGCCUUGCGUGAAGUGCUCCAAAUCUUGCAAAGAAUGUGAUGAGAAAGACAAAAGAUUUGUUGAGUUAAAGAAAGCUGAAGGACAGAAAACAGAAAAAGAAUUUGUGAAGAAUGAAUCUUCAAGUUCUGCCUCAGUGUGUUUCGAAUGUGACAACUUGAAAAC